UACAGAGGGUGCAAGCGUUGUUCGGAAUUACUGGGCGUAAAGCGCGCGCAGGCGGGUCUGUAAGUCGGAAGUGAAAUCUCACUGCUCAACGGUGAGGCUGCUUCUGAUACUGCAGAUCUUGAGACCGGUAGAGGUUGGUGGAAUUGCAGGUGUAGCGGUGGAAUGCGCAGAUAUCAGGAGGAACACCGAUGGCGAAGGCAGCUCGCUGGGACGGUACUGACGCUGAGGCGCGAAAGCGUGGGGAGCGAACAGG
RNAcentral lists this ribosomal RNA (253 nucleotides) under uncultured bacterium. Its description in RNAcentral is "partial 16S ribosomal RNA". It matches the Rfam family "Bacterial small subunit ribosomal RNA", at positions 524 to 776 of the family's 1533-position model. The record is from RNAcentral.